CUUUGAGGCAGCAGAAUUUCGUAUAGCUUUUCAUCAUGAAACUGAAAAAUUGCAUAUUUGUUGAAAUUUUUGAAAACUGAAAAUUUGCAUACAUAGCAGAAAAAAAAACAUAAGGCUACUCUUAAGCCAAGACAGCUUUCAAGCCAACAUACUCCUGGAACAAUCUUUUGGCAUCAAUAUUUGUAUUUCCAGAAGUCAUCAUAGCCCAAGUGUCCAUCAACAGCUUCUAUUCACAACUCCCAUAACAUCUUGUUGACAAAAUCUACCAACACUAAUAUUCAAUUCUUCUCUUUUUCUUUUUUUCAAACAUCUCCAAUAAAGGCAGCAAAUAGCAAAUAUGAAGAGCAAUAUCAACACAAACCAACCAUCAACAACACAUCAACAGUAGCAGAGAAUCCUAUAACAACUUCACCAAAUUUAGACAUGAACUACACACUAUAACUGUCACAUCCCGACCCUUAUAUUUUUACCUUAUUUACUAGCCUGAUUAUAAUAAGAAUUUUACCGUCUCGAUCAUUGAGUAAAUAGUUUAAUUGGUCCCUAGAGGGGUUUCGGGGACGAUUAUGUGCGGAGGAUUAUUAGUAUGAGGAAAAUACGACGACGGUAAAAAUGGUAAAUUUUAGCUAGUAAAAGGUAAUUUUAUUCGGGUAUUAUUUUUCGGGGUGUUUUUAUUUUUUUGAAGUGGGUUGAUAUAGGUUGGACCGGUGGAGGCCCAACCCAUUUUUCUUUCCUCCUCCCUUUCUCUUCUUCCCUCUUUCUUUUCCUCUCCCCGAGCCUCCCGCUGCCCGGUUUUCCGGCUGUCCUCCCGCCGCCGUCCGACCUCCGUUCGCCGCCGGACCGGUCCCGUUCGGUCGGUCUCCCUCCCAGCAACAUUUCUAGNNNNNNNNNNNNNNNNNNNNUAUGACUUGGCCCAUCAUGCUGUUUUUAAUUGAUUACCAAAAGAGUAGAUUUGAUCUUCCACAAUCCAGCAUACUAGCAGAGCCACCAUUACAUUUCCUUUUCAGACCAGAAGUACCAACCAUCAAAUAAAAAAAAUUGCAGUAGCUAUCUUCAAACUUUUUUUUUAACUAAAAUCAUUAUCAAUUUCAAACAUCUAUGUAGGUGACUCCAAACCAUAUGCAACACCAUCUCCAGGGCAUAAGAAGACCAAGAUAUGUAAACAUCUCUCAUCACUCCAGAGCCAUAGAAUUAAUCACACAUCCAUUGUGUCAAGCCAAAUUCACCAGUCCAAAAAAAAUUAUAAAAUUCUUCAUCAACUUAAACUUUAACUUUAAACUUCAAAAUAACAAAGAAAUGGACAAAUGAUGAACCUUUGCAGAACAACCAAGACUAGAAAAAUAGUCUACAACUCAAGUGAGAGAAAUGCCACUCUGAAAUGGAUACCAAAUUCUGCAUCUUCACAACACUUUAAAAUUGCAUAAGCACAUAUUCUUGUAUAGCAGCCACUCUAAUAACUCCUCACAACUUUCCAUUAGAAGAUAUAACAACUCUAAUCAAACACUGCAACAUCCUUAUAACCACUAAGGGAAUAGUAGACACAAACUCCAAAUUUAACAACAAUGUGGAAAAAUACUCUAAAAUAAACAUACUCUCACACAAGCCAUACAUUCAGACUAUGAUCUAAUCAUCACGUCAAUUCACCACUCAAAAAAGAAAUAUAAAACUACUUCAUCACCACCUUCUUCUUUGGUUGACGGCAAACAAACUUUGACAAGAAAAAUUAAAGUGGAAAACUGAUAGAUUGAUCAUAACAGCCAAGACUAAAUAGAAAAUCCAUGAAUUGAGUGAAAGAGAUGCCAAAUUGGAGAGGUAUUACUAAUAUUGCUAAAGAAUUUGAUGCUAGCAGAGAUACAGGAGAACCGAAGCAUAGCAAAGUAAGACCAGAAAAGAAAAAUUGAUAUCAGUAUCACCAACAAAUCAAAAGUCUAGGGAUAUUCACUUUCAAAAUACUCAUCUCCCAUCCGGAUUCAUCUCAAAAUACUCAUUUCCCAUCCAGCCAGAUUCAUAUCACCAUCAAUUAUAUAUCAAAACGCUCUUCAAAAAGUUCAGAUAGCGAGAAUAAUUAAGCAGAAGCUAGAGAUGAUUAUACCAUAGUGAUGUUGGAGAAAGAGAUUCCAGAUUGAGGAAUUGAAGUCGGCACGAAAGACGAAGGAAGACUAGGUGGCAAUGACGAUGUCCGAAAUAAGGACUUCGUUGCUUCGAGAUAAGAAGCAGUCGCGCCUAGAGACUCUGAUUCGAGGCUUCGAUUUGAGAAGACACGAGCAUAAUAUGAGGUUAGGGUUUGUGAAUUUGGGGGAAAUUGAAAUUGAAAACAAAGCUAUAGAAUUCUAAAACGCAGAAGCUAGCAAAGAAACUCAUAAUUUGAUGCUAAUAGAUGCAACUAACGCACAAUAAUAGCACGGUCAUCAAAAAUAGGGGAAAUAUUUAGACCCCAAGUAUCGUACCAUGGGGAUUGAAGGGCUAACCACAAUCGUUGGGUAAUCGGCAAUAAGUCACUAAUGACAAAGAAAGAAAAUAAAAUAAAGAAAAAUGCUACUCUAAGGCACCAAGCCUUAGCGAUGCUCGACCUUGGUUCGCACCAAAACCUAAUCAAUACUAAUGCCUAGUGAUGGCUAUUUACAAUGAGUCGAGAUUUCGAAAUUGUGAUUGAAAUUUUUAAGUGAAAAAUAUUAAAAACUAAAUUGACAAUGAAAAAUAAAAUGAAGUAAAUAAAAUAGAGGGAUUUGGGUGCUAGGGAUCACUCUAGCAAUUUCAAUGCAACGAAUAAAUUUCAAGCAAAUAAUCAUAUCUGCAUGAGUACCAAAUCCCGUACUUAAUGCCGGUCAAGGCCACUAAGCCGAACUUCCUCAAGGAUAUUCACAUUUCCGAUUAAGGAAAACAUGAACUCUCUAAUUCACGGACUAGUACCAUAUCAAGGCUACUAAAACAUGAACCAAAGGCGAAGAGUCCUAGAAGUUAGGGAUUUAAGCAUGCAAUAGUUGCAACCUAGAAUGUCACGAUUACAUAGUUCUGUACCUAAUGCCAGUCAAGGCCACUAAGUCAAUUGCUCCUAUUUGGUAUCCACUCUUCCGAUCAAGGCAAUAAUGAACUCUUUAAUCACAAUUUUCAUGCCGUGUUAGGGCCACAACAAUAGGCCUAAAGGCGAAGAGUACAAGAAAAUAGAAACUUAAGCAAUCAUUAAUUCCCGAUUAAGCAACUACUUGACACACCACGCUAAUUACAAGAAGCUAGUGCACAAAAGAACCACCAAUUGAAUCACACAUCACAAAUCUUAACACAUAACAAAGAGAGUGGUCAAUUCCCUAAAUUCAUGCAUCAAGAAUCAAUAAGCAUAGUAAUUAGAGUGCAGCCAUAUGAAAAUACAUUAUAUAUUACCAUGCAAAUAUGUUCAUUACAUCAAAAUUGAGCUAGAGUUGGAACCCUAGCUCCCAAAAAGAGUUUUACUCACUACCCAUAAUAAUAUGCAUCAAAAUUCAAAGAGGAAAAAAUAGUGUAGGAGAAGCAAGGGUAGCCACAAUUAGCUAGAAAGCUAUCAUGACUAUCAUUGAAUUACAACUCCUACAAGUACCUAAAGCUUGAAUCUUGUAAUUGGAUGACCACUUGAAGCUUUGGGUGAGUCCUUAAAACUAAAACUAAAGAUAUGAAAGAAAAUGGAGGAGGAAGGUGGGAAUGAGAUGAGAGAGCAGCCCUAAGGCUGCCCCCAAAUAUGAAGUGCGGCUAGGUCUCUUCCUUUAUGCCCGGUCUCCCCUCUCUCUUUGCAAUUGGGAUCCAUUUAUACAAUUAUACAUAAGUGGUUGGCGUGAGAAGUAAAUAGAGAAAUGGAUGUGCUGAGGCGGCAGCGCUUCAUUGGUUGCCAGGAGAUAAGCACGGAUCCAGUGUGGUAUAGUGUGCGUGAGAGUGAGGCUGGUAGCAUAACUGAGGGGUCACGUGCAAGUAGGGCUGGGCAUAUUCUGAUCGGGCCGGUUUAAGGCCCAAACCGGAUCCAAUCCGAAUUAUUCGGAUUCUUAAAAUCUCCAUCCGGAUCCGGAUUUUUUUCACUCCAUCCGAAAAUUCGGCCCAACCGAAAUUCGGAUCGGUUUCAGAUUUGGGCCGAAUUUGAUCCAUUCAGUAAAACAGUAACAUUCUGCCAUUCUGUAUUUCACAAAAACCUUGCAACCUAAAACAGUUUCAAACACUCAAAGAGAAUACUGAGUCUCAUAGUCAUACUUCAAGGAGUACAAGCUUAUCACAGUCAUAAACUCAUAAUUCAUAAACUCAUUACAAACCAAGCAAAUUAAUUUGUCCAGAAAUAAAUAAAAGAGCAGAGGCUGCAGAGCAGGCUGAGCAGCAAGAGUUCAUAAGUUCAUAACUUAAAUAAAAAGGCAGACAUGCAGUAGCAAAUCCCUAAUUUUACUUGGUCUCUUCAGGUGAUGAGGCUGCAGCAUUUGUGACACCAGAUUUUGCAAAAACAAGAGAANNNNNNNNNNNNNNNNNNNNUGCAAAAACAAGAGAACCAUAUCAAACUUUGAAGACCAUACAAAUAAACACUUGCAAACACUACAAAUUUACAAGUUCAAAAGCAAAAAUAAUAAAUAGUUACCUGCUGUGAGCUUUUCCAACUCACAAUACUGCUCCAUUUCAGUCUUGACAGGCUCACUGAACAUUGGCUUGCUAGUGUCUCUCAACCAGUCACUAGUACAUACCAAAGCCUCAACCAUUUUAGGGGUUAGACUAGCACGAAAUAAAUCUAGAAUCCUUGAUCCAAGGCUGAAAGCACUUUCAGAUGCUACUGUGGAGGCAGGCACUGCAAAAACAUCCUUUGCAAUUUGUGACAGGAUUGGGAACCUAGCUGCAUUCUCUUUCCACCAACCCAACAGCUGAAAGUUAGAGUUCCUAGGGUCCUCAGAUGCCUCCAACAUAUACUUGUCAACCUCAGUUUUUAUCUCUACCACAUCUUUAGCCUGCCGAAGCUUCACAAACUCAUUCACUGUUGCAUAAUGGCUGUCCUCCUCUUCUGUAACUCCUUUUGAGACUGACAUGGGCUGAGUUGAAUUGUAAGAAGCAAGGGCAGCAUCAGGAUCAUUAGCAGCAUACUCAUUGAAAAGCUCCUGCAAUGUGCUCUUCACAUUAAUCACCAACACCUCCACCAACUUCUUGUCUAUCUUCAACUUGGGGAAAAAGAAAUCCAAGUACAGAAACUUGUACCUGAAAAGAAAACAAGUCAGUAAACACAAGUAUUACACUACUUGACAAAACAGUAUUACAAAACUGUUAAAACAAAGCAACACAGUAUUAUAAAACAAAACAGUACAGUCUUAGAACAAUACCUUGGAUCUAAAACAAUUGCAAUGAGAAUAAUUUUGUUGAUGUUUUCAACCCUCCCCCAAUAUUUGUCGAAUUUCUCCUUCAUUGAUUUGGCAAUUUUGGAAAGCAGAUUAUCAUUACCUUGCAUAAAAAAAAAACAGAGACAUUUAGUUAACAUUGUUAAAUUGUUAAAGACAUAAAAUGAAGACAGUAAAGCAAAUUUGAAAUAAAGUUGAGUAAUUUACCCUCGAUGCACUUGUUCAGCUCUCCAACCAGUGUACACAUCCAUUGGAUUGGCUGAUUGGAAGUCACAACUUGUGUCCCACUGAAAUCAAGGGUUGCCUCAUAGGAAAUUUUCAAAAACCUCACAAGCCUCUCAGCCUGGUACCAAUCCUCUGCAAUUGGAGGUCCAGCUUUCUCACUAAAAUAUGCAGCAAACUGUGGAUCCUCAUCCUCCAUCCUUUGAAUCGCCUUCCGGUACUUAAUAGCUAUGUCUAGCAUUAAGUAUGUUGAGUUCCAUCUAGUGCAGACAUCUAAAGGCACUAUCCCACCCUUGUGCUCCACUUUUUCUUGAGUUGCACAUUUCCUAAACUUCUCCAACCUAGAUGGACUCGAUCUAAUGCACUUCACACAGUUUCUAAUGGACUCAAUCGAGGAGUCCAGCUCUGCCAUUCCAUCCUUAACCACUAAGUUAAGAAUGUGACAGCAACACCUAAGAUGCAAAAACUCCCCUUUUAGGACUAGCUCAUUCCAAUUCCCUAUCUUCUCUUUCAUGUAAUCCAAAGCCACUUGAUUAGGAGAAGCAUUAUCAACAACAAUGCAGAAAAUUUUCUCUAUUCCCCACCCAAUGAGACAAGUUUCGACAAGCUGCCCUAUUGUCUUCCCCAUAUGGUUUGGUAUCACACAAAAGUUUAAGAUUCUUUUGUGUAAAACCCAAUCAACAUCAAUAAAGUGGGCUGUGAGCACCAUGUAAUUGAUAUUUUGGAUCGAAGUCCAAGUAUCAGUGGUUAGUGAAACUCUCGAUCUGUCCAUAAGUGGCUAAAAUAUUUUUGAUUGUAAUCCUCUCCGACUCAUACAACUCCCAAAUAUCUCUAGCAACUGUCCUACGCGAAAACAUCUUAAACUGUGGCUGAACUUGACUUAUAAAAUAUUUAAACCCAGGCCCAUCAACAAAACUAAAUGGCAAUUCAUCCCUAACUACCAUCCUAGCAAGAGCUAACCUACAUACAUCCUCAUCAUAAGACCAAGCAACUAACUUACCCCUCUUGUCGAAAGACUCUUGUGCCUUGAAACGAAAAAAAACGUAAAAUCGGUAACUCAACUAAUCGACAGUAUAAACUGUAUUUGAAAAUGUAGAAAGUGAGAGAAAUGAAAUUACCAACUGCUUCUGUUUCUUGGGGACCCUAAGUGGACACUUCGGGCAAUUGAACAACAGGUGAUUCUUCAUGUUACUGGUCCCAUUCGAUCUCGUAUCACAUCCAUAGGUUUGCGGACAGUGAUUGCACUUCGCUCUCGGCUUGGCGAGAGGUGUGCCAUCGAGAUUCUUCAUCAGGGUAAAAUGAUCCCAGGCGAUGUUGUGAUUCUUCCUCUUGGAUUGAACCGAGGAAGAAUUCCCUAACGCAGCAGCAGCAGCAUCAGGUGGAGCUUGAGAGCUGUGCAGCCUGUGCUGAACUAUGGAACCUGAUGCAGGAGUUGAUGUAGUGUCACAUCCCGACUCUUAUAUUUUUACCUUAUUUACUAGCUGGUUUAUAAUAAGAAUUUUACCGUCUCCGUCAUUGAGUUAAUAGUUUAAUUGGUCCCUAGAGGGGUUUCGGGGACAAUUAUGUGCGGAGGAUUAUUCGUAAGAGGAAAAUACGACGACGGUAAAAAUAGUAAAUUUUAGCUAGUAAAAGGUAAUUUUUAUUCGGGUAUUAUUUUUCGGGGUGUUUUAUUUUUGAGUUGGGUUGAUAUAAGGUUGGACCGGUUAGGAGGCCCAACCCAUUUCUCCUCCCUUUCUCUUCUUCUCUCUUUUCUGUUCCUUCUCCCUCCCGUGCUCUCUCUCCGCCGGAAGCUCCCAGCCACCAGCUGCCGCCGUCCGGCCAGCCAGCUGCCGCCGCUCCAUCCCAGUUCGGAGCCCCGCCACCUCCUCUCCCUCCCCGGCCUAGCCCCCGAGCCUUUAACCCGCCGGAAGAGGAGAAAUCCCGCCGGAGACGCCGGGAAGCAUUUCGCCGGAACUCCCCCCUCCGGCCACCAAUCCAGGCAAGCUUGGUACGGUUUUGUAGCCCUCCAACCCAGCAGCCUUGCCCUAAAAGGACUCUCCCUCUCUUGAGCUAGGUAAGGAGAAAUGUGGAGUUGAAAUUUAUAGGGCUUUUAGGUGUUUGUGUUCGAUUGCCCUAGUUAGGCUUAGAAUUUGGGUUUGUGCUGGUCAGGAAAGUUGUAGAGCAUGUUGAGGAGAUUAUUCUGUCAAAAUUUCAUAGGUUUUGGAGGUCGCCGGAAUUGGCCUCCGGCCGCCGCUGCCGGCGGAGGCGCCGCCGCCGGUUGGGAGAUUUUUAUGUUUUUAAAUGUGGAAUAUUAAGGGGAGUUUAUUGAAGUGAGUUAUGGAAUUUUUGGUUGAGUUUUGGAUAGGUUUGUGAAUUUCCGAAGUUUGGUAUUUUGGCGGUUAAUUAAUGUAGAAUCCGGCCGUAGGAUUUAAGUCGUAUUCUGUGGGAAGUUGUUUUUACGGCUGCCGGUAUGUUCGGCGAAGUUUGAGCCGUAUUGAGUUAAGAAUGGCGAAUUUGGGCGAUGAUGAGUGUGUGGGAGGCUCACGUUUAAUUUUGCCCAUUUUGUUUAAAUAUUGGAUUUUUGGUGGGAAAUUAAUUAUAUAUUUGGAACAGGACGAGAGGAGGCCCGAGCAGAGGAAGCCUCGGAGCGUCAUCAGGCUUAGGCCUAAUUUGUGAGUGGACCUAUAUUUUAAUUGAAAAGCAUGCGAUGAAUUAUAUGUUGAUCAUUUAAUUCUUUUCCUGAGAUUUAUUUAUUUCUCGGAUAUUUGGCAAUUUUCCUCUUUUGGAGAGAUCCCGAAAAUGAGAUUUUCAGUGGAUAUGUUUAUUGGAUGUUUAUGAUGAUAGUAUGUAUAUGUAAAUGUUAGCUGGCCAUACGUGCUGAUCCGCCAUAAUGAGGUAAAAUACCAUUAUGGUGUGACGUGAGUGUUAGACACAAGCGUAGUAGCCCUAUAUGAAAACUAUUUUUUAUUUGGUUUAUUUAGGUUUUCAUAUAGGGAGUCCACACGUAUAUACACUCGUGCUUUUUUCCGCCAUACUGAGGUACAAUUCCAUUAUGGUGUGACGUGAGCGUUAGACGCAAGCGUAGUAGCCUUGUAUGAAUUUCUAUUUUUCUAAUUUGUUCUUAGAAUUCAUACAAGGAGUCUGACGAGUGUAAAUACAUACACUUAUAUAUGUUUAUAUAUAAUUUAGCCUGAGAGGCUGUAUUUUAUUUAAGUUUUGGAGACUAGCCGGUGCUGGUCGUGAAGUUGCCAGUUUUUGAGUUGAGCGCUUUUGAGCGAUUGCAUGCAGUAUUAUUUUAUUUGGAAAUUAAAUUGGGGAAGCAUAAAGAAAUAUUUUUAUUUAAUUUAUUUUUGUCCACUCACUCUAACUGUUCCACAUGUUUUCCCCUGGGUCUUUCGUUUUAAAUUUCCCAGUCUACAGAGUUCAGGUUGGACCUAGUAGGAGACGAGGCAUAGUUACCCGCUUUUCCGCCAGUUUUCAGCAGUAGGUUACCUGUUUAACCUACUAGUGUUUUCUUGCUUCCGCUAGUGUCCAGUAGCUCUGAAUACUUUGGGAUUAUUGUAUAUUAUUCCGGUGGUGUGCUCGGUCGGUUGACUUUAUGUUUAGAAUUGCUGAAGAAUAAUAUUUGCUUUUAUUUAGCUGGAUAAUUGUGUGAUUUUUUUUGGAAGUGCUGUAGUAAAUGUGUGAAUUGGAGAUUUUUCGGGUUAGGGUUGUCCAUCUUCAAGGGAGGUUUUACCAAUCUUUUGGUAAAUUUUCCUUGGAGGUGGUCCCCGCACAACUUACUCCGGGUUUCAGGGUGAAAUUCGGGGUGGGUCGUGUCAUGUAGGGGUUGUUCCAUGGUUGCUUGACGAUGGAUUGGAUGGACCUGAAUCCAUCACCUAAAAGAAAAUGAGAAAUGAGAGAGACUGAGACUUGAGAGGCAGAUCGAAAAUGAGAAAUGGAUUUAGGGUUAUGGUUUUUAGGUAUUUAUAUGGAGGAUUCAGUGUGGGAGGGUUCACGGUAAAGAGUUGUAUGCACCAUUAAUGAUGCGACACGUAUAUAAAAAAUAAUAAUUAAAUAUUAAUAUUCGGGUCGGUUUAAUCGGGCGGUUUAGGGGGCUGAACCGGAUCCAAACCGGUUUAAACCGGUUCAGGCCGGUUUGAGUCAUUUUUCCAACAGUUUUUCCGGUUCGGUUAACCGGCCCGCUUUUUCGGGCGGUUUUUUCGGUUGAACCCGGUUAUAUUCGGUUUGCGUCCAGCCCUACGUGCAAGCUUGAAUUGGUGAAAUCCAUUGGUUAAUUGGAUUAACCAUGAUUAAUAAGCUGUUGCACGGGAUUUGCACUUGUAAAUAGGUCAAUUAACCAAUGUCUUAAUUAAACAAUUAAGCAUUGAUCAAGGUAUCCAUAAGUUCAUCUUUUUGUCGGGAAAGUCCAUUUUUCUUCAAUUUCACCCAAUUUUCUCUCAUUUCUGCAACUCCGCUUAUUCUCUAACAAAAGAAAUAAAAAUAGAUUAAUUACAUAUCAAUUGCUAUGAGGGUUAGCAAAUUCAUAACGUGAGCAUCUCCAGCAGCAUUGAUAAAUUGAAAAAAAAUUAGAGAUUUAUCAAUUUUUAAAUGAAUCUUUGCUCCAGCAGUAUACUUAAGAAAUUGAUAAAUUUAAAAAUUGAUAAAUUUAUCAAUCUUUGGGAGACAAUUAACUAAAACUUAGCUAAUGUAUACAAUUUAGCAAUACUGCUGGAGUAAAAGUUUAAAAAUUGCUGUUGUAAAUCUAAAUGUUGAUAAAUUUAGCAAUAAAUUUAACAGUACGAAUUAUGUGUGUAAAAAUACACAUAAUUAACUCAUAAGCCACAAGGCACAGGAUUGUGACCAUAUGACUCAAAUACCCUUAUACUCUUAACAACUUUUGGCAACUAUAUGUAAAAAUGCAUUAGAAGAUCUGUAUUUAUCUUAGGGAUUGUUGAGAGAUGAACAUAAAGUAUCAAACUAUACUAAUCCAAAUAGUAAUUGUACGAAAUUUGGAUAAGUGGGAAGAACAUAAGACUUCUCUUUUCACACACUCAAUUCAUCAACUUCCUUUCCCUUCCAAUGCAUCUCCAGAUUCACCAAAACCAAGCGUUCUCGACAUGUUAUCAGUUCAUUCUUAUCGGAAAAGUAGAGCACACGAUAAGCUAUUGGGGACCUUAUGAUGGAUGCGAUGUAGGCUAAGACGGAGGAGGCUAGGUGACAUUUUGGGGAAUGAGAAUAAGUUGAGGCGUGUUCUAGCGAAGAUACUUUGGGUCACAAGUAAUCAAGUGUGUACCAUGUUGAUUUGUUCUUGCAUGUUUAGGGGAGAGAGUUCUUCUCCAAGGCAAGGUUCUAAAAAACUGUCUAAGUGGCCGCCUAGGCGAUGAGGGAAGUCGGGUGAGGAUUUAGCAGUGAGGGAAGUCGGAUGGGGAUUUGGCGGUGAGGGAAGUCAGGUGGGGAUUUUGCGGCCGCCUAAACGACCUAAUGUUGACUUAGGCGCUAGGUUACGUGCGUGUUGAACUCCUUUUCUUCUCAAGUUAGAGAUAAGAAAUCGAAGUUAGAGACUAUUAUAAGAAGUUCGAGUCAAGGGAGAAUGGAGGACACUUGAUGUGCAGGUUACUUGUAGCACCCCAGGAAGGGGUUAACCUUAUUGUCAUGAUUCUAAGCCAACGAGAAACCGACACAUCUGAAGAUUGUGUUGACAACCCAUUAACUUAAAACCAAAAGGUUAUUUUAGAAUUUAAAACAAAUAGAACGAGUGAGGUAUCUCAUAACUUUCGUAAGUAUACAAAUAAGAGUUUUUAAAACCCGCGGAAGGUGGAGAUUUUAAAGGGCCGAUUUAAAACAUUGUGACAGCAUAAAAAAUUCACAUCACGAACAACAAUUUGGAGCAGUCUUAUAAUUUUACAUAACGAAAUAAGGAAUGCUUCAAAGAGGAAGAAGGAAAACAGGUUUGCACUACAUGAUCAAGACAAGAACAUUAGGCCAAGGGUUCACACACCUAGCUUCCCUUAGCAUUCUAUCAUGUCUCAGCUAAUUUUUGAGUUUUGCAAGCUUUGAGAGAUUAAGUGAUUUGGUAGUUUUCUAUCGAGAAUUUAGGUUGCGAGGAGAGAGGUUAUUUUAGCAUGGAAGAACCAAAUCAUUCUUCAUGUUGUAAUCUUCUUCUUGUCUAGAAUAUAUAUCCACCCUCAUCAUCAAUCAUAUGAGGAAAUAGGUUAAGUGUUAUGACUGAACCUAGUUAAAGUUCUUGUUUUUACUUGCAUUGUUUCUUAAUACUGUUUUCAUUCGGUUUCAGUCUUGGGCAAAAGAAUUACGAAGGUGACCUAAAUUUCCUUACAACUGCAAACCCCCAAUCCAAGCGAAAAGAUUAAUUCAAUAUGAUGAUUUACAUCCAUAUUAGAAACUCAAUUUUUGCUCAUUCUAAAUGCUUAUUAAUGAACUUAUUUGGCGAUGUCGUACAUAAGGUAAGAUAUGUACGAUUCAUUCAACGAGACCAGUUAUUAUUUGGUAUCAAGAAUGAAUUUAUUAGGCGAUACAAAUUUUAAUAUGGUCGUACAUUAUCAUAUAUAUGAGUAGACAUACAUAUUUGUUUAUUAUUUUCUUAAAGACGAUAAAGCGACCUAGUUCCUUCUCUCUUGAUGAGAACAUUAACGUCCUUACCCAGAACAAGGAGAAGUAGAAACACUAGCAGUAGCACUGCCAUCUCUUGAUUGUCGAGUACACUCACCGGUACUCGUAGAGGUGGAAUCAGAACCAGCCUCCUCAGUUUGUUGAAAAUACUUUUGCAAAUCGCUCUUCGAUCAACUUCUCAAACUGUUCACGUUUUUCCUUUUCAAUAGCUUUAACUGCCUUCUCUAGCUUCUUGACCUCUCUACGUUGCUUCUUCCAAUCUAAUAACUCUUGAUUGGACUCUUCUACCUCACUAAUAAUAGGGUUAGCAGGAUCCCCAUUGACACGCAGGUACUCGUUAUCAUUAGUUCUAAUAAAGAGG
This 12492-nucleotide long non-coding RNA is filed under the name Fragaria vesca (wild strawberry). Its description in RNAcentral is "long non-coding RNA (FVES_LNC002970)". Lineage: Eukaryota; Viridiplantae; Streptophyta; Magnoliopsida; Rosales; Rosaceae. The record is from RNAcentral.